CCUACGGGGCGCAGCAGUGAGGAAUAUUGGUCAAUGGGCGCGAGCCUGAACCAGCCAAGUAGCGUGAAGGAUGACUGCCCUACGGGUUGUAAACUUCUUUUCUAAAGGAAUAAAGUGAGGCACGUGUGCCUUUUUGUAUGUACCAUAUGAAUAAUGAUCGGCUAACUCCGUGCCAGCAGCCGCGGUAAUACGGAGGAUCCGAGCGUUAUCCGGAUUUAUUGGGUUUAAAGGGAGCGUAGGUGGAUUGUUAAGUCAGUUGUGAAAGUUUGCGGCUCAACCGUACAAUUGCAGUUGAAACUGGCUGU
This 305-nucleotide ribosomal RNA is filed under the name uncultured bacterium. Its description in RNAcentral is "bacterial SSU rRNA". It matches the Rfam family "Bacterial small subunit ribosomal RNA", at positions 338 to 640 of the family's 1533-position model. The record is from RNAcentral.